CAUCCCCGCACCGGAAUUUGGCGGCAGCGGAGAAAAGGAUUGAUGGCGAGAGAGGUGAGCCCCUCCUCGUCCCCGCGCCGUCGAUCUCCUCCCGUGACGUGUCUCUCCUCGCUGGUCGUCGCCACAUGCCACGGAGGAGCUGCAGCCAGGUCCGAGUAGCUGCCUGAUAUCGCGGCUGAUGGAGCAUGGGAAGCCGGUCAAGGGGAGGGGGCGUGCUACUCCUGGUUCAGGUCCGUUGUAGACAUCGUUCAUUCCAUUCGUCUAGGCUUCGGUCGGCUUGCCGCCUGCUGCUGUGUCGAGAGCUUGCAAUGUUUGAGCCUGAGCUCUUCCUUUCCUUCCUGACUAUGUGCGGCUCCAGUACUUUUUUUGGCGUGUUUUCUGCUCGGAUUUAGGUUAAAAAAAUGGAUGCAUUAGUUGGUCAAGCGGUCGGAUUCCUUUGUCAUGGAUUAGGGAAUCCCCUAUGUUUUUUUGUUGCUUUCCUGGAGGCUCGGCCGCAUGCUGAGAUUCGUGGCAGUUUAAGAUAUUUUGCCACUGUUGAUUUGGGUUAGUCCCAGUUUUAGGUGUUUUCUUGCAUGAUUAAUUGUUGGAUUACAUGGAUAACGUCAAAUUUCAACCCAAUGGUUUAAUUUGGUCUCACUUUGAAUGUUUCUCUCUGCAGCUAGAGCAAGACAGUAGUAUGGAGGCAGACAGUAGUAUUGGUCGGGUAUUGCAAAAUAAGAUUUUAGUGUGUGUUUUACUUUUCUCUCUGCAAGCCAGCUUGCUGCAGUUAGUGAAGAACAAGAGAAAUUAAGGAAGUACUGUGCUAUACUACUAUGUUGAAACUUUAGGGGAGGAGUACAAGCAGCCAGGUUAGUGUGUACAUUGCUUUUCUAUUUUUGAUGGGCUGAUGCGUAUGCAUUGUUUGUGCUUUACUAAAAUGAGCAAUUAAUUAACUAGGAUCGAUUGAAUCCAGUACACAUUUCAAUUAACUAGAAUUAAACGAAGUUCUUGGUCUAGGCAAUAUACGUCAAGCUGCAAAGAUAUAGUGCAGCCUAAUUAUUUCUUGGAUUUGGUACACUUACACCUUCAUUCUAUUUUUAUUUUGGUCUGCUGUUGAGUACAUUUAGAUAUCGAACAUAUAAACGCUGCUGUGCUAUCCGUCUUCCUGGGCAUCUGCAUUAGCGAGCGAUUUCUCUCCGUCCGAUGGAAUUACUGUGCACGUUUUUACCUCUGCAAUGGGGGAUUUGUCCACAAAGCUUGUCUUGUCAUGUGUAGGCUACGCGACUGUACACCAACAUGGCCAGGAGCUUCAGAAGGGUUGCUCAGCAACGGACUGGAAGAUUUUUUUUGUCCUGGGUACUUGCAUGAUUUAGGAAGAAAUUAGUUGUUCCUAAAUGUGCUAUUGCAGAUCAAAGAUCAUACGUGUGGCGUCGUCUAAGAUCGUAAUCUGGUCAUCAUAAGGCUUUAUUGAUUGUUGAUUAUACUUCCAUGGUUUGACCUAUCCGAGGUGUAGCCAAGAUCAGCCGAGAGGACAAUGUUUUGGUUGUUUCGACGGAAAAUCCUACUGACUUCAGCUUGAAGCAUGAAGCCCCUAGCCCAGUGUUAAAAAAUCCAGUCAUCGUAGCUAAAGCUGGAAUCACAUAGAGCAGUGGCUACUCCAGAAACACUUGUUCUGGUCACUUCCAGGGAUAAUACAAUCAAUCUAACUGUUACUUUUGGUGUGCUUUUUGGAUGGACUAAUCUGAAGAUGCUGGCUAGCUUGCACCACCUCCAUAUAGUCUAGAUGCAAGGGCAAGGAUUAUAGGGAAAAUAAAGGCAAUUCGCCACGAGGAAAUGCCAACUAAUACAUUUUUUUUUACUUUCUUUCUUACUAUUGACUAUUUGAACUGUUGUAGUAAGACUCAGGCUUUUCAAAGUUAUUAGGCAUGUGGACAUGUAUUUAUUUUAGUUUGUACAGUUUUGUGUUCUUGUGGCUUCAGGUUGCUCCUGCACAAAAAGUGCAGUGAACUCAGGUGACACAUGAAAAAACUAGAGACCUAGCAUAGUUUUUGUAUUCGGAUUUUGUAACUAAUCGUGUGAUGCCUUUAUGUUAAAAUGCUUAUUUGUUCUCCAA
This is a long non-coding RNA of Triticum aestivum (bread wheat), 2092 nucleotides long. RefSeq lists it as uncharacterized. The record is from RefSeq and is a predicted model, not a curated record. NCBI's taxonomy places the organism in Eukaryota, Viridiplantae, Streptophyta, Magnoliopsida, Poales, Poaceae. The transcript is spliced from 6 exons.